Molecule: long non-coding RNA, 1555 nt
Organism: Phasianus colchicus (ring-necked pheasant)
Lineage: Eukaryota; Metazoa; Chordata; Aves; Galliformes; Phasianidae
Source: Ensembl
UGAAACUCCUCGCAAUUGAGCUCCAAGGCCAUCCAAGGCUUCUCAAAUAGCUCUCUUUUGUCAGCAAACUGGCCUUCUGAGCAGGCAGCUCAACUCCAAGGAUGGGUAAAGUGUGCGCUCCAGGUCUAGCACUGUGUAAGUAGAUACAGCCUUAGACCGGAGUAAUAUCUGUGCUCUGAGAGGCUACUACACCUCGACUGCUCUGAACAGAUUUGCUGAGGGUACAUAUUGUGCUAUCAUUUACGUUGAUAAAAAUAGUGAAUAUUAGUACUAGCAACACACUGUUUCUUGCCAGCUGGCAACCUGACAUUGAGCCAUUGAUUACGACUGGGUCCUCAGAGCUCUAAUAGCUCUUAAUGACCCUGAGCAGCUUCACCUGGGAUCUCUACCCAUGCCUUCUGACCAUGGCUCUAUUUAGAUUUAAGCUUGGGCAUUCGCUCCUAGUCUGAAUUAUGUCACAGAUAUGUGUAUCUGUGUGUGAUUCUCUCUGGUCUUGUGAUCCUGGGGGACCUUGGGCCAAUGUUUUUGGUGGCUUGUUCCUGGUGCUGCCUCUUGGAAGGCUAUUAGACUUAUAUCACAGUAUUUUUUCCAAUCUAUGUGUGGCUUUAUCUUCUGCUGCUCCUUCACAGGCUGCUAGGUGUGAAGAUUUCCCACAAGGAGCAUUUCUGAGACUGUCUAUAGCAGUGAUUGAGAGGUCCAGAGGAAUAAAAGAGCCCUGCAAGUAUAGAAUAAAUGAUGAGAUACUCGAACCUGCUUUCAUGAAAGAGAGAUUCAUAUUCUUGAAGGUGUAGUACUUUGAAAUACAGUAGAAGCAGCCUCUGAAAUUCCACUCUGUCUUCUGGCUCCACUUGACACCAAAAGCCUUUCAUCAGCUUGGCUGUGACAUAGCAAACCCCAAAGACUUUCCUUCUCUAUGCUCUCUGAGCACACUCAUGGCUUGGUGAAACAGUUCAUUCAGGAUGUGAAAGAAGGAACAGAAGAAAGUUGACAACAAGCCAUACUCACUCUUCUUUCAAAGUGUCCUGUGUGGAGAACAGGAUACCACAGAAUUUUUCUGCUUUUGGCUGAAGUUUUCCACUUUUCCUGGCAAAUUUCCAGUAGUAGCAGUAGAUUUGUUCAGUUGAAUUUUAUGUUUGCUAAGAAUUUAAAGCUGGACUCAGAUAAGCAAUUAAGAUUCACUUUUUGAGAGAAUGAUGAGAAUUUUCUAUUAAGGAACAGAUCUGCACCACGUUUAUGAACAUCCAAAAACUGCUGAAAAUACAAGAAUUAGAAGAGUAAUUCCGUGGCAGACCAGACUGUGGUCAAAGCCUUUCAAUGAGGCAACUCAUUUGAGAGCAUCACUGACAAAAGAAAGGACUUUUAGGCAGAUUUUAACUACGUAUUGAGUAAUGUGUGGGCCCUAAACAUGUGUGAUUAAUUUCUUGCUUGCUUGCUCUUUUUUUCAUUAUUUUCUUCCUUAACUCUUCACCUGUCUACAUAUCCUGCUUUCAUAUUUUAGAACUGGAAUGUGCACCUCAUGAAUAAAGCUCUGGUUUACAAAGUCUGUAUGCCUGUU